Molecule: ribosomal RNA, 1362 nt
Filed under: Mustilizans shennongi
Lineage: Eukaryota; Metazoa; Arthropoda; Insecta; Lepidoptera; Endromidae
Description: 16S ribosomal RNA
Source: RNAcentral
GGGGUAAAAUUAAUAAUUUAAUAAAUAAUAAAAAAAAUUUUAAUAUUAAAAUAAUUUAAUGGGGGUUAAAGUAUUUUAAUAGAAAAAAUUUGAAUUUUUAUAGUGGAGUAGUAUUGUGAAAGAAUUUUGAAAUAUUUUGAAAUUAAAUUUAUUAAAAAGUAAAUUUGAUUUGUUGUAUCUUGGGUAUCAGAGUUUAUUAAAAAUUUUUUAUUGUGGGGUAAAUUUCUCGAAUUUAAAAGAGAUAAUUAAUUAAAAAAGUUAUUGUUGCAUAAAUAUUUUUAAUAAUUAAUUUGAAAUGAAAUGUUAUUCGUUUUUAAAUAUAUCUAGUUUUUUUAGAAAAAAAUUUAAUUUUUAAUUUUAAAUUAAAAUUUAUUAAUUAAUUUAAUUUAUUUUAAUAUAAAAUUUUAUAUUUUAAGGGAUAAGCUUUAAAUUAACUUUUUAUAAUAAUUUUUUAUUAAUUUAAAAUUUUUAUGAUUUAUAUUGUUAAUAAAUUAUAUUUUAUUAUAAAUAAUUUUAUAAAAUAUAAAAUUUAAUUUAUUAUUUAAUUUUUUAUAAAAAAAUAAAUUAUAAUAUUUUAUAUUUAGAUAUUAUGAUAAAAUUAGUAUAUAAAUAAUAAAUUAAUAAUUAUUAAUUUUAUUAAAAAUUAAUUUAAAGGAAUUCGGCAAAAUUUUAUAUUCACUUGUUUAUCAAAAACAUGUCUUUUUGUAAAUAAUUUAAAGUCUAAUCUGCCCACUGAUAAUAAUUAAAGGGCUGCAGUAUUUUGACUGUACAAAGGUAGCAUAAUCAUUAGUCUCUUAAUUGGUGACUUGUAUGAAAGAUUGGAUGAAAUAUAUACUGUCUUUAAAUUAUAUUAUUGAAUUUAAUUUUUUAGUUAAAAAGCUCAAAUAAAUUAAAAAGACGAGAAGACCCUAUAGAGUUUUAUAAUUUUUAUAAAUUGAUUUUAUUUAUAAUUUUUUUUAAUUUUAAUUUAUAAAAAUUAUUUUAUUGGGGUGAUAAAAAAAUUAAAUAAACUUUUUUUAAUGAAUUUUCAUUAAUAAGUGAAUAAAUGAUCCAAUUUUAUUGAUUAUAAGAUUAAAUUACCUUAGGGAUAACAGCGUAAUUUUUUUUUUUAGUUCAAAUAAAAAAAAAAGUUUGCGACCUCGAUGUUGGAUUAAGAUAAAAUUUAUAUGCAAAAGUAUAAAAUUUUGAUCUGUUCGAUCAUUAAAAUCUUACAUGAUCUGAGUUCAAACCGGUGUAAGCCAGGUUGGUUUCUAUCUUUUGAAAAAAAAAUAUUUUAGUACGAAAGGAUCAGAUAUUUUAAUUAAAUUAUAAUAAAAUGAAUUUUAUUAAUUUUUUUUUUAUAGUUUUUAUGUUGAAUUUAUU